Molecule: ribosomal RNA, 468 nt
Filed under: uncultured bacterium
Lineage: Bacteria
Description: partial 16S ribosomal RNA
Rfam family: Bacterial small subunit ribosomal RNA
Source: RNAcentral
GACGAACGCUGGCGGCGUGCUUAACACAUGCAAGUCGAACGGAAAGGCCCUGCUUUUGUGGGGUGCUCGAGUGGCGAACGGGUGAGUAACACGUGAGUAACCUGCCCUUGACUUUGGGAUAACUUCAGGAAACUGGGGCUAAUACCGGAUAGGGGCUCCUGCUGCAUGGUGGGGGUUGGAAAGUUUCGGCGGUUGGGGAUGGACUCGCGGCUUAUCAGCUUGUUGGUGGGGUAGUGGCUUACCAAGGCUUAGACGGGUAGCCGGCCUGAGAGGGUGACCGGCCACAUUGGGACUGAGAUACGGCCCAGACUCCUACGGGAGGCAGCAGUGGGGAAUAUUGCACAAUGGGCGGAAGCCUGAUGCAGCAACGCCGCGUGCGGGAUGACGGCCUUCGGGUUGUAAACCGCUUUCGCCUGUGACGAAGCGUGAGUGACGGUAAUGGGUAAAGAAGCACCGGCUAACUACGUG